This 885-nucleotide ribosomal RNA is filed under the name Tomentella sp. 4 RT-2012. Its description in RNAcentral is "eukaryotic LSU rRNA". The stretch from base 308 to 462 matches the Rfam family "5.8S ribosomal RNA". Lineage: Eukaryota; Fungi; Basidiomycota; Agaricomycetes; Thelephorales; Thelephoraceae. The record is from RNAcentral.
GGCCGGAAACGGCCCACUGUUGCUGAGAAGUUGAUCAAACUUGGUCAUUUAGAGGAAGUAAAAGUCGUAACAAGGUUUCCGUAGGUGAACCUGCGGAAGGAUCAUUACCGAAUUGUCAACACGAGUUGUUGCUGGUCCUCAGACGAGGGCAUGCGCACGCUCUGUUUACACAUCCACUCACACCUGUGCACCCUCUGUAGUUCUAUGGUCUGAGGGGCUCUGUCCUCUCGCCGUGGCUCUAUGUCUUUACACACGCACUGUAAUAAAGUUUCAUGGAAUGCAUGACGCGUUUAACGCAAUACAAUACAACUUUCAGCAACGGAUCUCUUGGCUCUCGCAUCGAUGAAGAACGCAGCGAAAUGCGAUAAGUAAUGUGAAUUGCAGAAUUCAGUGAAUCAUCGAAUCUUUGAACGCACCUUGCGCCCUUUGGCUAUUCCAGAGGGCAUGCCUGUUUGAGUAUCAUGAACACCUCAACUCUCACGGUUUGCCGUGAUGAGCUUGGACUUUGGAGGUCUUGCCGGCCCGUGGUUGGCUCCUCUCAAAUGAAUCAGCUUGCCAGUGUUUGGUGGCAUCCCAGGUGUGAUAACUAUCUACGCUUGUGGCUUUCCACCAGGUAACCUUCAGCGAUGGAGGUUCGCUGGGGCUCACAAAUGUCUCUCCCAAGUGAGGACGGCUUCUUGAAUGUUUGAUCUCAAAUCAGGUAGGGCUACCCGCUGAACUUAAGCAUAUCAAUAAGCGGAGGAAAAGAAACUAACAAGGAUUCCCCUAGUAACUGCGAGUGAAGCGGGAAGAGCUCAAAUUUAAAAUCUGGCGUCCUCUGGUCGUCCGAGUUGUAGUCUGGAGAAGCGUUUUCCGUGUCGGANCGUGUAUAAGUCUCUUGGAACA